AAAAUUCAGUCAAUCAGGAAAAGAAAGAAAGCAUUAAUUUAUUCAUUUAUUUCUUCUGUAAAAUAAAUUUAAAUAUAUUAUUUUUAAUAUGUUUAAUUUAACUUCCUACAAGCAUUUAAUAGUUUCUUUAUUGCUGUUUCUUUUUUCAACUAAAACUGUGUUUUUUUCUUAAAAAAUUAUAUACUUCUUUCAGGAAGAAGGUGCAAACUUUUUUCCUUGUUCUCCGUUGAAUUCAUC
This 237-nucleotide long non-coding RNA is filed under the name Vigna radiata. RNAcentral describes it as "long non-coding RNA (VRAD_LNC007013)". Lineage: Eukaryota; Viridiplantae; Streptophyta; Magnoliopsida; Fabales; Fabaceae. The record is from RNAcentral.